RNAcentral lists this long non-coding RNA (241 nucleotides) under Ananas comosus (pineapple). RNAcentral describes it as "long non-coding RNA (ACOM_LNC014838)". The record is from RNAcentral. Lineage: Eukaryota; Viridiplantae; Streptophyta; Magnoliopsida; Poales; Bromeliaceae.
AUAAUUUGAUGAUUCUUUACUAUUCAACUAAAUAGUGUUAUACGAUCGAGUUGGUGGCUCUUACGAACAUAACGAUUUCGCAGAGUGUCGUCAUAAAAUGUGAUAUAAUGAUUUGGUGCACUCAAAAGAAUUGGGCUCGAGAGGCGCAGGUUAGGCGCAUAGGCUUAGAUGAUUAGCGCGUUUAAUAUAGUCAGAUCCGAGAUUGAGGCACAUACAAGUGAUAUCAAAGCCUAUAGUUUGA